GGCGGGCCAGGUCUGUCGGCCCUCGACUGAAAAUCGUGGUGUCCCGGGUUCGAGUCCCGGUCUCGCCA
Molecule: transfer RNA, 68 nt
Filed under: Solirubrobacterales bacterium
Lineage: Bacteria; Bacillati; Actinomycetota; Thermoleophilia; Solirubrobacterales
Description: tRNA-Phe
Source: RNAcentral